CAUCUCCUCAACAGCUUCCUCUCGCGAGGCAGACUGAUCAUUCUUCAGUAAAACGGGUAUAACCUCUGCUACAGGAUGCUGAUUGACCUCAACCCGGUGGCAUUGGAAAGCUAACUCAAAGCUAUAUCUUGUGUCAAAAUAUGGGCGCAAACUAACGGUGGGAAGGUCUCCAUCCAUUGCUAGACAUCUGACGCGUCUGUGUAGUUAUGCACCUCAAAAGACUCCAAAAUCACCAUAUUUCUCCAG
This 246-nucleotide long non-coding RNA is filed under the name Brassica napus (rape). RNAcentral's name for it is "long non-coding RNA (BNAP_LNC013952)". Lineage: Eukaryota; Viridiplantae; Streptophyta; Magnoliopsida; Brassicales; Brassicaceae. The record is from RNAcentral.